This is a small nuclear RNA of Vigna angularis (adzuki bean), 195 nucleotides long. It matches the Rfam family "U2 spliceosomal RNA". Rfam says of the family: U2 is a small nuclear RNA (snRNA) component of the spliceosome (involved in pre-mRNA splicing). The record is from Rfam. NCBI's taxonomy places the organism in Eukaryota, Viridiplantae, Streptophyta, Magnoliopsida, Fabales, Fabaceae.
AUACCUUUCUCGGCCUUUUGGCUAAGAUCAAGUGUAGUAUCUGUUCUUAUCAGUUUAAUAUCUGAUAUGUGGGCCAAUGGUCCACACGAUAUUAAAUUAAUUUUUUAAAGGGGAAGGUCCACGACGGUAGCUUGCUACUGGGUCCUUCAAGUGUCGCUCUUGCGUUGCACUAUAGCAUGGGCUGGCACACCCUCC